Molecule: ribosomal RNA, 495 nt
Filed under: Triticum aestivum (bread wheat)
Lineage: Eukaryota; Viridiplantae; Streptophyta; Magnoliopsida; Poales; Poaceae
Description: partial small subunit ribosomal RNA
Source: RNAcentral
AUGCUGGUUGUUCAGACCGUACAAGUUGCAACAGAGAUACUAGAUUCAGAGAUUAGUUUGUUUGUUGUUGGUGCUUUCCUGUUUGGGCGUAAACAAAGGUUUCCCUGGACUCCAUACACUGCAAAGUUUUUGGUGUUUCACAGGACCAACUCAGCUCCUGGUUAUUUCUCAGUCUCUGACAGGAGAAGAUUUUGCUACCUUGUUCUGCUUGAUGUGUUUAGAGUUCUGCGCUAUGAACUGAUGCUAGCUACUGGUAUUCAACCUAGACUCUCUGAGUGUCAGCAUGUCGAUUGGUUUCAUGAUGUUUUUCUCAGUGUAUGCAACACAUAUACUCCUGAACCCACACUCGCCAAAUUCCAGGCCUUUAAAAAAUGCGACUGCGAGCAUCUUAUAUCAACCGGGGCUUGUAAUCUAUUCAUGGACAAAGGAUGCCUCAAGUGUGACAUGGGUCAUGAAGAAAGCGAUUCAAUAGUACUGCAAACUUCAAGGAUUUAG